Long non-coding RNA from Cryptomeria japonica (Japanese cedar), 1205 nucleotides. RefSeq lists it as uncharacterized. The record is from RefSeq and is a predicted model, not a curated record. NCBI's taxonomy places the organism in Eukaryota, Viridiplantae, Streptophyta, Pinopsida, Cupressales, Cupressaceae. The transcript has 2 exons.
AAAAGAAAACAUUGAAAAACAUGACUUCCCAGAUUCCAUAGCAUCAAGGCGGCGGGGGAGAAAUCCAGCUGUCCCAGGAAGCACACGGAUCCCUCUCCGGGGGUGACAGAAGGUAUCCCCCAUGGUAUUCCCGAGGUAUAUCCCAUGAAGAAUGAAGAAUACCUCAGAUUAGGACUGGGAUAUCUGAUUUCCUCCCAUCUCAGGGCUAUAAUUCAAGUACUGAGGCAGUCUCUGUUCAGCUCUCUUGAAUCUAGAGUAUUGUUGAGAUAUUUUAGAAUAAAAUCCAGAAUACAGUUGACGCUAGAAGAUUCUAGAUUUUUUUCUAUAAUGUUUAAUCUCUAUUCUGCAACUGUACUCUACAAGACUUAGAUUUUUUUCUAUAAAUCGACAACAUGGAUGAAAUGGCCGUUAAUUUUUUCAUGAUACCGUUUGAUUAGCACCAUUCACCUCUUCUAUUUAUAGACAAUUCAUUUGAAAAGCAGGGGCGGAGUGUUCCCCAUUCUAUUUUUCGGGUUUGCCUGUGAUUGUCAUGUUUCUGGAUUUUAUUUGGAUUGUUCCCUAUUCUAUUUGUUUUUUGGUUUGUGUGUGAUCCUCUUAUGUUUUUAUUCAGUUUUUGUGUUUGGAUAUUUUUCUUUCUCAAUUUUCAUGGUAUUUGUGGAUGGUGAAUUUUGAACGGGGCACUGAGGAGGGCAGAGCUAUACAUCCAUUAUAUUUGUAGUUGCAUUUCCUCUAAUAUGCAAGGAGGUAUUCGAUCACGGGACCUAUUCCGCCAGAGCUCGAGUACUUGGACAUUGCUGGUGCUAAUCUUUCUGUCGUACUGCCACAAGUUGAACAGGUCUUUUAGCAUAUCUACUGUAUGCUUUUAGGAUGUAGAAUCCGUACAGGCAUGUUUGUAAAUAACAAGGUAUUUGUUUUUUUCAAGUUUCUUGUUUGUUUCAUAAAAGCAAGAUCUCUAAAAUGUGUGUUCUAAUUGGUAUAUAGACAAAUGUGUAUGGUAUGACUAAGGAAUAUGGAGAAAGUAUUUUCCAUUCAAAAUUAUUGGCGAAGUAUUUGUUGGCCAUUUCCUGUCUUUUGCAUACAGUUAAGAUGCUAAUGACAAGAAAAAACUUUGUUUGUGUGUGACUGGGUUUGCCCCACUCAAAAUCUAGCAAGAAGUUAAUAACAGGAAAAUAUGGUGGAACCCUAAUGGUUUCAGAAUUUCUUAC